Neodiprion virginianus is the source of this 1087-nucleotide long non-coding RNA. RefSeq lists it as uncharacterized. The record is from RefSeq and is a predicted model, not a curated record. NCBI's taxonomy places the organism in Eukaryota, Metazoa, Arthropoda, Insecta, Hymenoptera, Diprionidae. The transcript is spliced from 3 exons.
UAAAAAAAAAAAAGACAAGAAUCUUUUACAAGUUUACGCGUGUUCAAAUAAAGUAUCGCAAUUAUAAAUGACGGAUUAUUCGGUUUCGUUGAGAGUUCUCCGUGCCAAACGAAGACAGACAUCGGUCGAUGCGAAGUGGUCGGAUAACGUGGAACCUCGGUUAAUCGAAGGUCGGAUAAGCGAGGUUCUACCGUACAUCAUGUAUGCUGCAUUCGUAAUAUUAUGUGAAAAUUCAACACGCUUCGAAAGCUCAGCGGUACAUAAUAAUUUUCCUAUACUAUCGUUCUUGAUUUUUCAAUGCAGAGAAACAGGAAACCACAGAUAACGAUGUUAUCGCGGCUGUGCGACUCUGGUUUGGGUUCAUUUCUCAUUGUUAGGCCUGAGUUCACGAAACAAUCUCGGAAAAUGUUUUCCCGAGCACCCGUGAGCACAGGACCGAAUUUAGAGAAGAGCGAUGUGAGCCGAAGUCUCUUUUUUAGGGGCCUUUAAAUACGGCCCUGUCGGUGAGCAGGGUUUAUUCGAAUUCUCGGAGUAUCGUUCCUCCACAGCCCUGCGAUCGAUCUCAUAAAGUGAGACGGCAGUGGAAUCGGAUGUAAUAACACGAUGUACAAGGGAUAUUUUCCAGCUGACCCUGAAACGACGGAGUACAGUCACCGCGGUGGGUGUGUGUAUGACGUAUUAGUCACGCGUGUGGUAACCAUGUGACUGACGAUCGGGCAAAGUGCGAAAUAUCGCUUGACGAACCCGCAGGAUUUAUGCAGGCUAUUGAACGAAUACCACAAUAAUUGUUUCCCUCGUCAAUAAAGCUGGUUUCAACGAGUCAUUCUACGACAUUGUUUGAACAAAUUCUCCCAGAGAUAUAUUUUUAAUUGUACUGUAUCAAUCGUUAGAAUAAAUUUAUCUGUAUUUCUUUCUCACCGACGAAAGUAUUCAAUAUUAGUCAGACUACUUUUGCCAUCAAAGAGUAUCUUCAAUUUGUGACAGGAAAAUUUGAAGAAAUAAAUAUUUCUAUUCCCCUACACCCAUAUAAUUGAAAAGGUUUGCAACAUUUUGCGAAAUGGUUCUUCGCUAUCACUUGAUGAUGCCA